Unclassified non-coding RNA from Callithrix jacchus (white-tufted-ear marmoset), 300 nucleotides. It matches the Rfam family "Metazoan signal recognition particle RNA". From Rfam's summary of the family: The signal recognition particle (SRP) is a universally conserved ribonucleoprotein. It is involved in the co-translational targeting of proteins to membranes. The eukaryotic SRP consists of a 300-nucleotide 7S RNA and six proteins: SRPs 72, 68, 54, 19, 14, and 9. NCBI's taxonomy places the organism in Eukaryota, Metazoa, Chordata, Mammalia, Primates, Cebidae. The record is from Ensembl.
GCCAAGCGUGGUGGCCUGUGCCUGUAGUCCCAGCUACUCGGGAGGCUGAGGUGUGAAGAUCGCUUGAGCCUAGGAGUUCUGGGCUGUAGUGCGCUAAUCAGGUGUCGGCACUAAGUUCAGCAUCAAUACGGUGACCUCCCAGGAGCAGGGGACCACCAGGUUGCCUAAGGGGGAGUGAACUGGCCCAGGUAGGAAACACAGCAGGUCAAAACUCCAGUGCUGAUCAGAUCAGUAGUGGGAUUGCGCCUGUGAAUAGCCACUGCACUCCAGCCUGGGCAACAUAGCGCGACCUCGUCUCCU